This 739-nucleotide long non-coding RNA is filed under the name Vulpes vulpes (red fox). RNAcentral's name for it is "lncRNA (ENSVVUG00000018286.1)". Lineage: Eukaryota; Metazoa; Chordata; Mammalia; Carnivora; Canidae. The record is from RNAcentral.
CCGCCGGCCCCGCAGACCUCCCCACGCGCGGCUCGGGCCCCGGGCGCCGCGCGGGGUUGGCUCAGAGCCAAAGUCGCGUUCCCCGCUGCCCCCUCUCCCGGCUUCUGUCUUCUUGCUGGCCGGCCGCGGGGUCUCUGUAAGGCUCCGCCUGACUGCCCCGGGCUUCCCCUUGCUGCGGGGAGGACGGCGGCGCUUCCGGGAGGGCCGUGACCGCGGGGCGGGCCUGGCGCCCGGGGCCGCGGCUUCUCCCCCGCCGGCGCGCACCGCCCACUUGCGGGAGCCUUUCCUCCGGCUGCCGCGCCCUCGCCGCGCGCCUUCCAGGGCCGGUUCUCCCCAUCCCGGCUGCGUCAGGCUUUAUCGAAAAUGCGUCUUUGCUCGCCUCUCCUGCCUACGGAGUGGGCCGUGCGCUCCACGCUCUAUGAAGUCAUUACUCCCAGUCGUUACUAAGCUGCUCCCCCUGUGGCCCUAUGAAAGAUUCUCUCUGGGCCGGAGGCCCUGUUACCCUCAUUUUUGUGACCUGGAACGUGCAGAGGCUCCAUACACCCCGGGGAGACGGAGGGGAGAGAGUGAUCCCGCCUCCCACCCUUUUGGGGGACCUCACGAGUAUCCUCUGUUUGCUGUUUCAUUAUGCAAAACGCGGUCUCGUUUCGACAAGCUCGAUAGAAGCUUUCACGUUUUCAGAUUCUUCCUGGGCCCUGCCUGGCACAAGAGGUAUUGCUUAAGAAGGAGGCUCAUUUAA